GGUCCCAUGGUGUAAUGGUGAGAACUCCAGUCUCUGAAUUCAGCGAUCUGAGAUCAAAUCUCAGUGGGACCU
RNAcentral lists this transfer RNA (72 nucleotides) under Amazona aestiva (blue-fronted amazon). It matches the Rfam family "tRNA". Rfam says of the family: Transfer RNA (tRNA) molecules are approximately 80 nucleotides in length. RNAcentral also lists the same sequence under 1 other name. The record is from Rfam by way of RNAcentral. Lineage: Eukaryota; Metazoa; Chordata; Aves; Psittaciformes; Psittacidae.